Non-coding RNA from Kogia breviceps (pygmy sperm whale), 1477 nucleotides. The record is from RefSeq and is a predicted model, not a curated record. NCBI's taxonomy places the organism in Eukaryota, Metazoa, Chordata, Mammalia, Artiodactyla, Physeteridae.
GCAGCAACUAACAACCACGACCCAUUACCAAGAGUGAAGACACCUGGAAAGAAGUUGUCGUCACUAAGAGUGUCUUCCGGAAGGCUGCUGGUCUGCGAUGGAGAAAACUGAGACUCAAAGAGAUUUAUUUUCCUUCCCAACACAGUGGUAAAAUGGGCAGAAAUGAAAGGAGCCUGCAGGUUGAACCCAGCAAUCUCUGUUACAAGAAUGCCUACCCUUUGGCCCAUGCCACCCAUUUUCCUGUCUCUGUCAGAAUGCUAUUCAUCCUGCCUCUAGCACCAAGGAGCCUAACAUAAAGUAGAUAUCCUGGGAGGGAGUCAGACUGACUGCGGCCCACCCACUCUGACCUCCCAUCCAUCCGCAUGCUGACAUCUCGGAUCAAGUUCCCUAAGAAGCCACUUUGAAACUCUUUUCUCACAAGGCUGGGGAAUUUAGCUCCAUCUAAAGUAGGGGUUAUUCCAAUCCAAAAAUGGGCAGAAGACCUAAAUAGACAUUUCUCCAAAGAAGACAUACAGAUGACCAAGAAGCACAUGAAAAGCUGCUCAACAUCACUAAUUAUUAGAGAAAUGCAAAUCAAAACUACAAUGAGGGCUUCCCUGGUGGCACAGUGGUUGAGAAUCCGCCUGCCGAUGCAGGGGACACGGGUUCGUGUCCCGGUCUGGGAAGAUCCCACGUGCCGCAGAGCGGCUGGGCCCGUGAGCCGUGGCCGCUGAGCCUGUGCAUCCGGAGCCUGUGCUCCGCAACGGGAGAGGCCACAGCAGUGAGAGGCCCGCGUACCGCAAAAAAAAAAAAAAAAAAAAAAAACUACAAUGAGGUAUCACCUCACACCAGUUAGAAUGGGCAUCAUCAGAAAAUCUACAAACAACAAAUGCUGGAGAGGGUGUGGAGAAAAGAGAACCCUCUUGCACUGUUGGCAGGAAUGUAAAUUGAUACAGCCACUAUGGAGAACAGUAUGGAGGUUCCUCAAAAAACUAAAAAUAGAAUUACCAUAUGACCCAGCAAUCCCACUACUGGUCAUAUACCCAGAGAAAACUAUAGUUCUAAAAGACAUAUGUACCCCAGUGUUCAUUGCAGCACUAUUUACAAUAGCCAGGCCAUGGAAGCAACCUAAAUGCCCAUCGACAAACGAAUGGAUAAAGAAGAAGUGGUACAUAUAUACAAUGGAAUAUUACUCAGCCAUAAAAAGGAAUGGAAUUGGGUCAUUUGUAGAGAUGUGGAUGAAUCUAGAGACUGUCAUACAGAGUGAAGUAAGUCAGAAAGAGAAAAACAAAUAUCGUAUAUUAACACAUAUAUGUGGAACCUAGAAAAAUGGUACAGAUGAACUGGUUUGCAGGGCAGAAAUUGAGACACAGAUGUAGAGAACAAACGUAUGGACACCAAGGGGGGAAAGUGGUGGGGGGGAUGGUGGUGUGCUGAAUUGGGCAAUUGGGAUUGACCUGUAUACACUGAUGUGUAUAAAAUUGAUGACUAAUAAGAA